RNAcentral lists this unclassified non-coding RNA (146 nucleotides) under uncultured Mortierella. RNAcentral describes it as "sequence contains ITS1". The record is from RNAcentral. Lineage: Eukaryota; Fungi; Mortierellomycota; Mortierellomycetes; Mortierellales; Mortierellaceae.
UAAUAAGUGUUUUAUGGCACUUUUUAAAUCCAUAUCCACCUUGUGUGCAAUGUUUUGAAAAUCGCCUUCUUGGUGGUUUUUUAAUUACAUCAACCAAUUUUAACAAAUUUGUCUUAAAAAUUCUUGAAUAAAUAUAAUUCAAAAAA